Molecule: ribosomal RNA, 1341 nt
Filed under: Hypomyces sympodiophorus
Lineage: Eukaryota; Fungi; Ascomycota; Sordariomycetes; Hypocreales; Hypocreaceae
Description: eukaryotic LSU rRNA
Rfam family: Eukaryotic large subunit ribosomal RNA
Source: RNAcentral
CCCCAGUAACGGCGAGUGAAGCGGCAACAGCUCAAAUUUGAAAUCUGGCCCCUAGGGCCCGAGUUGUAAUUUGUAGAGGAUGCUUUUGGCGAGGCGCCGCCCGAGUUCCCUGGAACGGGACGCCACAGAGGGUGAGAGCCCCGUCUGGCUGGCCGCCGAGCCUCUGUAAAGCUCCUUCGACGAGUCGAGUAGUUUGGGAAUGCUGCUCUAAAUGGGAGGUAUAUGUCUUCUAAAGCUAAAUAUUGGCCAGAGACCGAUAGCGCACAAGUAGAGUGAUCGAAAGAUGAAAAGCACUUUGAAAAGAGGGUUAAACAGUACGUGAAAUUGUUGAAAGGGAAGCGCUCAUGACCAGACUUGGGCUUGGCGGAUCACCCGGCGUUCUCGCCGGUGCACUUCGCCUCGCCCAGGCCAGCAUCAGUUCGCGCCGGGGGACAAAGGCUUCGGGAACGUGGCUCCUCCGGGAGUGUUAUAGCCCGUUGCGUAAUACCCUGGGGCGGACUGAGGUCCGCGCAUCUGCAAGGAUGCUGGCGUAAUGGUCAUCAGCGACCCGUCUUGAAACACGGACCAAGGAGUCGUCUUCGUAUGCGAGUGUUCGGGUGCAAAACCCCUACGCGUAAUGAAAGUGAACGCAGGUGAGAGCUUCGGCGCAUCAUCGACCGAUCCUGAUGUUCUCGGAUGGAUUUGAGUAAGAGCAUACGGGGCCGGACCCGAAAGAAGGUGAACUAUGCCUGUAUAGGGUGAAGCCAGAGGAAACUCUGGUGGAGGCUCGCAGCGGUUCUGACGUGCAAAUCGAUCGUCAAAUAUGGGCAUGGGGGCGAAAGACUAAUCGAACCUUCUAGUAGCUGGUUUCCGCCGAAGUUUCCCUCAGGAUAGCAGUGUUGAACUCAGUUUUAUGAGGUAAAGCGAAUGAUUAGGGACUCGGGGGCGCUAUUUAGCCUUCAUCCAUUCUCAAACUUUAAAUAUGUAAGAAGCCCUUGUUGCUUAGUUGAACGUGGGCAUUCGAAUGUAUCAACACUAGUGGGCCAUUUUUGGUAAGCAGAACUGGCGAUGCGGGAUGAACCGAACGCGAGGUUAAGGUGCCAGAGUAGACGCUCAUCAGACACCACAAAAGGCGUUAGUACAUCUUGACAGCAGGACGGUGGCCAUGGAAGUCGGAAUCCGCUAAGGACUGUGUAACAACUCACCUGCCGAAUGUACUAGCCCUGAAAAUGGAUGGCGCUCAAGCGUCUCACCCAUACCUCGCCCUCAGGGUAGAAACGAUGCCCUGAGGAGUAGGCGGACGUGGAGGUCGUGACRAAGCCUAGGGCGUGAGCCCCGGUCGAACGGGCUCUAUGCAAUCUU